GAUGAACGCUGGCGGCGUGCCUAAUACAUGCAAGUCGAGCGAACGGACGAGAAGCUUGCUUCUCUGAUGUUAGCGGCGGACGGGUGAGUAACACGUGGAUAACCUACCUAUAAGACUGGGAUAACUUCGGGAAACCGGAGCUAAUACCGGAUAAUAUUUUGAACCGCAUGAUUCAAAAGUGAAAGACGGUCUUGCUGUCACUUAUAGAUGGAUCCGCGCUGCAUUAGCUAGUUGGUAAGGUAACGGCUUACCAAGGCAACGAUGCAUAGCCGACCUGAGAGGGUGAUCGGCCACACUGGAACUGAGACACGGUCCAGACUCCUACGGGAGGCAGCAGUAGGGAAUCUUCCGCAAUGGGCGAAAGCCUGACGGAGCAACGCCGCGUGAGUGAUGAAGGUCUUCGGAUCGUAAAACUCUGUUAUUGGGGAAGAACAUAUGUGUAAGUAACUGUGCACAUCUUGACGGUACCUAAUCAGAAAGCCACGGCUAACUACGUG
Molecule: ribosomal RNA, 497 nt
Filed under: uncultured bacterium
Lineage: Bacteria
Description: partial 16S ribosomal RNA
Rfam family: Bacterial small subunit ribosomal RNA
Source: RNAcentral